RNAcentral lists this ribosomal RNA (465 nucleotides) under Triticum aestivum (bread wheat). RNAcentral describes it as "partial small subunit ribosomal RNA". The record is from RNAcentral. Lineage: Eukaryota; Viridiplantae; Streptophyta; Magnoliopsida; Poales; Poaceae.
AUGUCGACUAAUGAUUUAGUUCACAACAACACUUUUUAUUUGGAUGGCACAAAUUAUCACCUAUGGAGAAUUCGCAUGCUUUGUCACUUUCGGGCCAUGGGUCCAAAUGCUUUGCGAAUUGUCCUUGUAGGAAUUUCUAUUGCAAAGGAUGGACUUUCUCCAUCUAUUGAGGAUAUGUAUCUUGAUUGUGAUACUUCUCUUAUCAUUCAUCAAACUUUAACCUUUGAAGUGUUUAAGGCAGUCACGACUUGCAAGUCGGCUCAUGAGACUUGGACCAAACUUGAAGAUGCAUAUGGUGGGUCCAAUCUUGAUGAAGAUAGUAUUCUAUUUGGGGAGUUGAUGCUGGAGUUCUCCACAUUUUUAAAUCAUGAAGAGCUCACUAUUACUUCCACCUCCAAUUACUUGCACACUUCAUUUCUUCCACUUCACCAUCAUGUGGCGUGCCACAAGGUAAUGACAUGGUGA